CCUACGGGAGGCAGCAGUGAGGAAUAUUGGUCAAUGGACGAGAGUCUGAACCAGCCAAGUAGCGUGAAGGAUGACUGCCCUAUGGGUUGUAAACUUCUUUUAUAUGGGAAUAAAAUGUUCCACGUGUGGGAUUUUGUAUGUACCAUAUGAAUAAGGAUCGGCUAACUCCGUGCCAGCAGCCGCGGUAAUACGGAGGAUCCGAGCGUUAUCCGGAUUUAUUGGGUUUAAAGGGGGCGUAGGUGGAUUGUUAAGUCAGUUGUGAAAGUUUGGGGCUCAACCGUAAAAUUGCAGUUGAAACUGGCAGUCUUGAGUACAGUAGAGGUAGGCGGAAUUCGUGGUGUAGCGGUGAAAUGCUUAGAUAUCACGAAGAACUCCGAUUGCGAAGGCAGUUCACUGGACUGCAACUGACACUGAGGCUCGAAAGUGUGGGUAUCAAACAGGAUUAGAUACCCUAGUAGUC
RNAcentral lists this ribosomal RNA (460 nucleotides) under uncultured bacterium. RNAcentral's name for it is "partial 16S ribosomal RNA". It matches the Rfam family "Bacterial small subunit ribosomal RNA", at positions 338 to 795 of the family's 1533-position model. The record is from RNAcentral.